UACAGAGGCUUCAGAGCAUAGACACUUUCCAAGAACUGGAAUCACUUGGAGUACCAGUAAGCACAAGCCUAUUCUAAUGAAGCGGUUAAGAAUGGUGUCGGAAGCCCAGGAGUGAGGGCCAAAAAAACAAACUGUUGGCAUCCAUUCAAACUGGUACUUUGAA
This is a non-coding RNA of Microcebus murinus (gray mouse lemur), 163 nucleotides long. The record is from RefSeq and is a predicted model, not a curated record. NCBI's taxonomy places the organism in Eukaryota, Metazoa, Chordata, Mammalia, Primates, Cheirogaleidae.